AGGCCUGUGGGGAGGGGAGCAGAGCUUCCAUGCCCUCCCUGCAUGCACCACCCUCCAGGAACCUCCACAUGUUCAGCUGUCUGGAAGCUCUUCCGAACCCUGUCCAUUUGAACUGUUAUGGAGGCUUCAUUACAUAGGACACUGGAUCCUGAGAGAGUGACACCAAGAGGAAUUGGAGGAGCCAAGAGGAAUUGGAGGCGAUUCUUGGCAGCUGUGAUGGGGCUGGGGGUGACAGGUGGGCUCUGCCUGGCCGACGAGGUGGUCGCCAUGUGUAUUGCUUCCUGCUUCCUGACUCCCUGGAGCUCCCUGGAAACUGCUCAAUCUCAAGCCUGGUGCCCCAGCCUCCUGUCAAUUCUGCGAGUCCUCCAACAACCUUUUGUUAGGUCUUGGUCUGUCACCCAGGCUGGAGUGCAGUGGUCCAGUCAUGGCUCACUGCAGCCUCAACCUCCCAGACUCAAGUGAUCCUCUCGCCUCAGCUUCCCUAGUAGCUGGGACUGAAGUCUUGCUUCACCCUACCCAGCUAAUUAAAAAAAAAAAUUUUCUGUAGAGACAGUGUCUUGCCAUGUUGCCCAGGCUGGUCUCGAACUCCUGGAUUCAUACUAUCCUCCCACC
Long non-coding RNA from Gorilla gorilla gorilla (western lowland gorilla), 612 nucleotides. RefSeq lists it as uncharacterized. Lineage: Eukaryota; Metazoa; Chordata; Mammalia; Primates; Hominidae. The record is from RefSeq and is a predicted model, not a curated record. The transcript has 3 exons.